This 439-nucleotide ribosomal RNA is filed under the name uncultured bacterium. RNAcentral's name for it is "partial 16S ribosomal RNA". It matches the Rfam family "Bacterial small subunit ribosomal RNA", at positions 339 to 795 of the family's 1533-position model. The record is from RNAcentral.
CUACGGGUUGCAGCAGUGAGGAAUAUUGCACAAUGGGGGGAACCCUGAUGCAGCAACGCCGCGUGGAGGAUGACGCAUUUCGGUGUGUAAACUCCUUUUAUAUGUCAAGAAAAUGACGGUAGCAUAUGAAUAAGCGCCGGCUAACUCCGUGCCAGCAGCCGCGGUAAUACGGAGGGCGCAAGCGUUACUCGGAAUCACUGGGCGUAAAGGACGCGUAGGCGGGUUGAAAAGUCAGGUGUGAAAGCCUACAGCUUAACUGUAGAACUGCACUUGAAACUCUCAAUCUAGAGUAUGGGAGGGGAAGAUGGAAUUAGUGGUGUAGGGGUAAAAUCCGUAGAUAUCACUAGGAAUACCUAAAGCGAAGGCGAUCUGCUGGAACAUUACUGACGCUAAGGCGUGAAAGCGUGGGGAGCAAACAGGAUUAGAUACCCCAGUAGUC